Molecule: ribosomal RNA, 390 nt
Filed under: Triticum aestivum (bread wheat)
Lineage: Eukaryota; Viridiplantae; Streptophyta; Magnoliopsida; Poales; Poaceae
Description: partial small subunit ribosomal RNA
Source: RNAcentral
AUGCCGGAGGACAAUAAACCAGCUGCCAUAGGGCUGUCUCAGGGGCGCUUACACCUUGUAUGCAUAGACUAUGACAAUGAUUGGCAACUAUCUGUUUGGGUUCUCGAGGAAUAUGCCAGUGGUCAGUGGACCUUGAAGCACACCGCGGACUUUCCGGGUCUGCUAGGAACGCCUCGUCGCAUACCCACCGAGAUCUACCAGUCGGUUGCAAUCCAUCCGGAAUGUAAUCUGGUUUUCUUUACCGGUGGGGAGGAGAGGUCAUGGUCGCUCAUGUCGUACGACAUGGAUACCCGGAAAGUGCAGCAUAUCAGCAGUCUUGAAAGUCGCCGUUAUCUCCCGUGUCUGCCUUACGUCCCCUGCUUCGUGAAAUGGUCCCCGGAUGGUCACUAA